RNAcentral lists this ribosomal RNA (824 nucleotides) under Myxozoa sp. OMsCVII 8. Its description in RNAcentral is "SSU rRNA". It matches the Rfam family "Eukaryotic small subunit ribosomal RNA", at positions 157 to 898 of the family's 1831-position model. The record is from RNAcentral. Lineage: Eukaryota; Metazoa; Cnidaria; Myxozoa.
UCUAGAGCUAAUACAUGUACCUCGGGCAGUUUCGGCUGUCUUGGCAUUUAUUAGAGCGAUACCAACCGUGUGAGCAAUUACACGAGGUGAAUCUAGAUAACUGUGCAGAUCGUAUGGCCUUGAGCUGACGACAUUUCGAUUGAGUUUCUGCCCUAUCAACCAGUUGCAAGUGUAAGGUACUUGCAAAGUGUCAACGGGUAACGGGGGAUCAGGGUUCGAUUCCGGAGAGGGAGCCUGAGAAACGGCUACCACAUCCAAGGAAGGCAGCAGGCGCGCAAAUUACCCAAUCCAGACAAUGGGAGGUGGUGACGAAAAGUACUAGGUGGCGACAAUGUUGCCAGCCUGGAAUGAAUACAAUUUAAGCAAUUGAAUUGAGUAACGACUGGAGGGCAAGUCUGGUGCCAGCAGCCGCGGUAAUUCCAGCUCCAGUAGCCUAUCUCAAAGUUGCUGCGCUUAAAACGCUCGUAGUUGGAUCACGCACUUUGUGUUGGUGUGCGACCUGGUGCGAUGUAACCGAAUUUGCAGUUCGGCACAUCGAAGUCACGGUCGCUAUUAGCCGAUGCAAAGUAAUUGCACGUGAGGAUGGUUGUUGGCCUUUAGUGUGUCGAUGAUUGUGUCUCACGGGGUGUGCCUUGAGUAAAUCAGAGUGCUCAAAGCAGGCGAAUGCCUGAAUGUUGAUAGCAUGGAACGAACAAUCGUGUAGGGUGUGUGCUGGUUACGGUGCGUCGUUUGACCAUCGCAGCACACGACACCGACCACCAAUUACGGAUGUUGGUUCCGUAUUGGGGUACUGAUUAAAAGGAGCGGUUGGGGGCAUUGGUAUU